AGUAUGAAGCAGAUUCGGGACAGUGAAGCAGAACAGGGCUGGAGAGAAAGGAAGGAGGUGAGAAGGACCCAUGUGAAGUUUUCGAGGUUGGAAAGAACAAAACCUAUACCGCAGUCCUCUUAAGUGCUUUUAGUCUGACAGUGUCUGUAUCAGUGGCCUUGUGCAGCUAGCCAUGUGGCUCCUGUGGGUGUAUGUGCGGCUUGGCAGGGGCUGUGGCAUGGGAGCAGGGGCCUGGGUUCCUGUUUGUCUACUAUUCUCCUUUUUUGCACAAGGCAGCCACUCACUGGAAGCCAGGAGGUGUGGGUCCCAGAUUCUUCUCGCCCCAACCUCCCCCAGAAAAUAAAUCACACAUGAUUUCAUUAAAUGCACCUCCUGCUGGGGAUGUUGGCUCAUAAUUCCUCUCUGAUUAACCCCCACUACCCCGGCAAGUUUAUAGGCCAAGAGAGGGAGAGGGAGAGGGGGGAAGGUAAAAGGAGGGAUGGGGGGAAUCCCAGGCGGGUGAUGGAUGCCUCUGUCAGCCCAGCUCGUAUUUAUUAAUAGUCUUAAUACGGGAAGCAAUAAAGGAAGAGAGGGAUUCUAUUAAUUAAAUCAUUGUUAUAAUUAACUUUCAUUAAAGGAGGAUCAAUAAAGAGGGGUUGGGAUGGAGAGAGGAGAGAUCCAUUAUCUCUAAUUUCCUUGGAAGGGAUUCAGGGAACGGGAUGGGGUUGCUAGGAGACGGAGACGUGAGGGAAGAAGGAACGAUGUAAGAAGUCAUCCAGGUGGGGCUGGAAAGGGGGUGGACAGGAGCAUUUCAGGUGAAUGGAGAAAGGGAAUGGUGGGGGUGGUCCACACAGGGGCCCUGAAGGGAGAGGAGGCCAGACUCCCACUUGAGACAACCCACUCAUGGCCAGCAC
Molecule: long non-coding RNA, 893 nt
Filed under: Homo sapiens (human)
Lineage: Eukaryota; Metazoa; Chordata; Mammalia; Primates; Hominidae
Description: HSALNT0189369
Source: RNAcentral